GCCCUAGUAGCUUAACGUUAAAGCAUCGGUCUUGUAAUCCGAAGAUUAAAGAUUAAAAUUCUUUCUAGCGCU
Molecule: transfer RNA, 72 nt
Filed under: Xenomystax atrarius (deepwater conger)
Lineage: Eukaryota; Metazoa; Chordata; Actinopteri; Anguilliformes; Congridae
Description: tRNA-Thr
Rfam family: tRNA
About the family: Transfer RNA (tRNA) molecules are approximately 80 nucleotides in length.
Source: RNAcentral